GCCCGAUGAUCAAUGCUUAGUACUCAUCAACGUUGUUGGAGCAUAAUUUGCUUAGUUGGAAGGAAUAAGGUAGUAUUUUCUUUUGUGGCAACAUGAAUACUACUCCUGCCCUUACUCCGUUUGCUCGUGCGGAUUCGUCGAAGAACAUCGCCCAUGUCGGAGAGAUGUCAAUGUAGAACACCUCUUCGUCAGGCAAGUCGUCUGAGAUUUUCCAAUCAGCUAGGAUUGGGUGAUUGGCAAGGAAGUUUGUUAACGUUUGUCCCUUGACGGCUUUAGUUGAAACGUAGAUGAUCUCAUACUGAUUAAGAAGCAAUGCCCAUUUAGCGAGUCGCCUGUCAAGAUUGGUUUGGACAUGACGUAUUUGACUGGGUCAACUUUAGCAACCAAGUGGAUGGUAUAAGCAUGCAUGUAAUGCCUGAGCUUCCGGAUGGCGACCACUAAGGCAAGACACAUCUUAUCUAUUGGGGAGUAGUUCAACUCAGCACCAGUGAGAGUUCUACUAAGAUAGUAAAGCGCCCUUUCUUUCUGGGAUUCAUUUUCUUGCU
This 545-nucleotide long non-coding RNA is filed under the name Malus domestica (apple). RNAcentral describes it as "long non-coding RNA (MDOM_LNC002852)". Lineage: Eukaryota; Viridiplantae; Streptophyta; Magnoliopsida; Rosales; Rosaceae. The record is from RNAcentral.